AUUGAACGCUGGCGGCAGGCUUAACACAUGCAAGUCGAGCGGUAACAGAGAGUAGUUUACUAUUCUGCUGACGAGCGGCGGACGGGUGAGUAAUGCCUAGGAAUCUGCCUAGUAGUGGGGGAUAACUUGCCGAAAGGUAAGCUAAUACCGCAUACGUCCUACGGGAGAAAGGAGGGGACUCUUCGGAGCCUUUCGCUAUUAGAUGAGCCUAGGUCGGAUUAGUUAGUUGGUGAGGUAAUGGCUCACCAAGACCGCGAUCCGUAACUGGUCUGAGAGGAUGAUCAGUCACACUGGAACUGAGACACGGUCCAGACUCCUACGGGAGGCAGCAGUGGGGAAUAUUGGACAAUGGGGGAAACCCUGAUCCAGCCAUGCCGCGUGUGUGAAGAAGGUCUUAGGAUUGUAAAGCACUUUAAGUUGGGAGGAAGGGCAGUUAACUAAUAUUUGACUGUUUUGACGUUACCGACAGAAUAAGCACCGGCUAACUUCGUGCCAGCAGCC
This 501-nucleotide ribosomal RNA is filed under the name uncultured bacterium. RNAcentral describes it as "bacterial SSU rRNA". It matches the Rfam family "Bacterial small subunit ribosomal RNA", at positions 30 to 516 of the family's 1533-position model. The record is from RNAcentral.